Angiostrongylus costaricensis is the source of this 64-nucleotide non-coding RNA. The record is from Rfam. NCBI's taxonomy places the organism in Eukaryota, Metazoa, Nematoda, Chromadorea, Rhabditida, Metastrongylidae.
GCAAGGCAAGAUGUUGGCAUAGCUGAAGCACAGUUUCCUCAGCUAUGCUACAUGAGGCCAUGCA